CAGUAGCCACGGUAAUACGUAGGUGGCAAGCGUUGUCCGGAAUUAUUGGGCGUAAAGGGCUCGCAGGCGGUUUCUUAAGUCUGAUGUGAAAGCCCCCGGCUCAACCGGGGAGGGUCAUUGGAAGCUGGGAAACUUGAGUGCAGAAGAGGAGAGUGGAAUUCCACGUGUAGCGGUGAAAUGCGUAGAGAUGUGGAGGAACACCAGUGGCGAAGGCGACUCUCUGGUCUGUAACUGACGCUGAGGAGCGAAAGCGUGGGGAGCGAACAGGAUUAGAUACCCCAGUAGUCCCUGUCUCUUAUAC
Molecule: ribosomal RNA, 301 nt
Filed under: uncultured bacterium
Lineage: Bacteria
Description: partial 16S ribosomal RNA
Rfam family: Bacterial small subunit ribosomal RNA
Source: RNAcentral